RNAcentral lists this long non-coding RNA (806 nucleotides) under Salvia miltiorrhiza (redroot sage). RNAcentral describes it as "long non-coding RNA (SMIL_LNC003507)". The record is from RNAcentral. Lineage: Eukaryota; Viridiplantae; Streptophyta; Magnoliopsida; Lamiales; Lamiaceae.
GUUCCGAAUCAAUUAGAAAAUCUCUCUGGAUCGUGUUCGUCUUCAGCGGCCUGAUUCGGCCUCGUCACUGGUCACGGGACCCGGCCUCUCUGGAUCGUGUUCGUCUUCAAAUCCGUUGCUCUCUUCUUAGCCUACUGGAUUUUGAGGAAGAAGGGAAGAAAUCCAAAAAUCUGCUGUUCAUUCUCCAUCAAUCUGGAAAAAUCUAGAGAAACGAAGAAGGGAAGAAAGAAGGGGCUGAACAAUCCCUAAAAUGGGGUACCGUCGCCGUGAUUUUACCGCCGCCGUCCUGGAGCUUCGAAGAUGUUUUCCCCUCAAGGCCGGUGCCGCUCCGCCUGGAAACGUCGCCGCCGCCGCAGUCUGAAUUAGAAGGCCGCCCACCAAGCAAUCUCUUACCACAGGGCUCAAAUCGCCGCCCCUUAUCCACCGCCUGCGUAAAAACCGCGCACCACCGCAGUGCAGAAGCUAAAUACACCGCAGAUCAUUGGUCACACUUCUGCGGCUAUCUCUGAAUCUCUGGGAGUUUCGAUUUCCUAAACCUUAGCUAAGUCUCUGAUGGGGAAAGGGUCUUUACUUGGGCCAAUCUUUGAGCAACACCCUGCAUAUCGUCGACAACUGACGGAGGGGAAAACCCCUAAUUUUCUUAGCUAAUAUGUAUCUCUCAUCAAUUUUGUGCAAAUCUUGGUUAACCUUGUGUUUUUAUCGUGUGUUUAGGGUGCAAUCUAUCCCCAACUCUGAUGAAAUCCUGAAAUCGGGAUUUAUAAUCACCGUCGACGCAGGAACGGCUCCUUUCUCUCGCUGACAACCAG